This 253-nucleotide ribosomal RNA is filed under the name uncultured bacterium. Its description in RNAcentral is "partial 16S ribosomal RNA". It matches the Rfam family "Bacterial small subunit ribosomal RNA", at positions 524 to 776 of the family's 1533-position model. The record is from RNAcentral.
UACGUAGGGGGCUAGCGUUGUCCGGAAUCAUUGGGCGUAAAGAGCGUGUAGGCGGCCCGGUAAGUCCGCUGUCAAAGUCAAAGGCUUAACCUUUGAAUGUCAGUGGAUACUGCCGGGCUAGAGUCCGGAAGAGGCGAGUGGAACUCCUGGUGUAGCGGUGGAAUGCGCAGAUAUCAGGAAGAACACCAACGGCGAAGGCAGCUCGCUAGGACGGUACUGACGCUGAGACGCGAAAGCGUGGGGAGCGAACAGG